Molecule: transfer RNA, 75 nt
Filed under: Micropotamogale ruwenzorii (Ruwenzori otter shrew)
Lineage: Eukaryota; Metazoa; Chordata; Mammalia; Afrosoricida; Tenrecidae
Description: tRNA-Leu
Rfam family: tRNA
About the family: Transfer RNA (tRNA) molecules are approximately 80 nucleotides in length.
Source: RNAcentral
GUUAGGGUGGCAGAGCCCAGUAAUUGCAUAAGACUUAAGCUCUUAAGAUCAGAGGUUCAACUCCUCUCCCUAACA